This 84-nucleotide small RNA is filed under the name Arabidopsis thaliana (thale cress). RNAcentral's name for it is "ATSL086580". Lineage: Eukaryota; Viridiplantae; Streptophyta; Magnoliopsida; Brassicales; Brassicaceae. The record is from RNAcentral.
UCAUUUUAGUGGUAUAUAAAAGAAUUUCUAAAAGCAGUUGACAAAAAAAAAUCAAAUCUGUCAUAAUAUGAGUUUCCAAAUAAA